RNAcentral lists this ribosomal RNA (253 nucleotides) under uncultured bacterium. RNAcentral describes it as "partial 16S ribosomal RNA". It matches the Rfam family "Bacterial small subunit ribosomal RNA", at positions 524 to 776 of the family's 1533-position model. The record is from RNAcentral.
UACAGAGGUCUCAAGCGUUGUUCGGAUUCAUUGGGCGUAAAGGGUGCGUAGGCGGCGCGGUAAGUCGGGUGUGAAAUCUCGGAGCUUAACUCCGAAACUGCAUUCGAUACUGCCGUGCUUGAGGACUGGAGAGGAGACUGGAAUUUACGGUGUAGCGGUGAAAUGCGUAGAUAUCGUAAGGAAGACCAGUGGCGAAGGCGGGUCUCUGGAUAGUUCCUGACGCUGAGGCACGAAGGUCAGGGGAGCAAACGGG